CUGAGGCAGCCCAUCAGGUCACCCUUCUCUCCCUCCGGACGAGGCUCGCCUUCCUCUCCCUCCAGGCCGCCGAGACGCGUAGAGAGGCAGCCAUCGAGGCACCCUUCACUCCUUCUCGAGGUGUCCGACGGCGUGGAGGAGAGGAGUACGAUGCGCCUACCUCUUUCCUAGGGGGGAGGAUGUAAUUGGCGCCCUCCUCUACCUCCCGAGGCAGUGGGGAAAUGGGAGGAGCUGAGGGGAGGGGUUAUGUGCCCAAUCUCCUUCUCAAGACGGCUAUUGGCGCGGAGGAGGACAUGGGUAUCCUCCUCUCCCUCCCAAGAAUGAUCGGCUAUGGGAGGAUCCGACGCUGACGAUGCCCUUCUUCUAAUGUAUCCGCCGCCAGGCAGGAGCGACUGAAUUCUUAAGAUGUUUGCUUCCAGUGGCUGAAGAUACAAUGAAAUAUUUCGCAAAGAAUGGGGGUGCAAGAAUGAAUAAUAGCAAUUGUGUUUUUCUGCAAGCAUGAUCAAAUGCUAGCUGUAUUUAUUUCCUAUUCAAAUUAUGUGUCACCAUUGAGCC
Molecule: long non-coding RNA, 555 nt
Organism: Lolium rigidum
Lineage: Eukaryota; Viridiplantae; Streptophyta; Magnoliopsida; Poales; Poaceae
Exons: 2
Source: RefSeq, a predicted model, not a curated record